ACCAGUUAAGCAGGGAGAGCUUUCUUUGAAAUGACAUCGAAAGAUAUUCCUUUCUGUUGGAGUCGUUCUUGAAGAUCAGUAGGGCCAAAUACAAUACCUGGGGGGAAAACUCCUCCCUUUGGCAGGUUGUCACGUUCGCUUAGAAGGAUAAGAGCACAUUGAACUAGGAUUAUAGGGGUUGUCAAAUAGCCAAUCUCAGGCCCCAUUAGUCUUGUUACUAUUUCCAUAUCUGGUUUCAUGUUUGCCUGUGAAACUUGAUUCCCAUCACUGAAACCACGUCCAACAAACCACAUCUUAAAUGUAGCACUUCUCACCUCAUCCUCUGAGGGGCCCUUCUUCCUAAACCAUCCAAGACUAAAAAAA
This 363-nucleotide unclassified non-coding RNA is filed under the name Hevea brasiliensis (rubber tree). The record is from RNAcentral. Lineage: Eukaryota; Viridiplantae; Streptophyta; Magnoliopsida; Malpighiales; Euphorbiaceae.